AUUGAACGCUGGCGGCAUGCCUUACACAUGCAAGUCGAACGGCAGCAUGGAAGAGCUUGCUCUUCUGAUGGCGAGUGGCGAACGGGUGAGUAAAGCAUCGGAACGUACCGUGUAGUGGGGGGAUAACGUAGCGAAAGUUACGCUAAUACCGCAUACGCACUGAGGUGGAAAGCAGGGGAUCGCAAGACCUUGCGCUAUACGAGCGGCCGAUGUCAGAUUAGCUAGUUGGUAGGGUAAAGGCCUACCAAGGCGACGAUCUGUAGCGGGUCUGAGAGGAUGAUCCGCCACACUGGGACUGAGACACGGCCCAGACUCCUACGGGAGGCAGCAGUGGGAAUUUUGGACAAUGGGCGAAAGCCUGAUCCAGCCAUGCCGCGUGAGUGAAG
This 386-nucleotide ribosomal RNA is filed under the name uncultured bacterium. RNAcentral's name for it is "bacterial SSU rRNA". It matches the Rfam family "Bacterial small subunit ribosomal RNA", at positions 30 to 410 of the family's 1533-position model. The record is from RNAcentral.